This 345-nucleotide ribosomal RNA is filed under the name uncultured eukaryote. RNAcentral's name for it is "SSU rRNA". It matches the Rfam family "Eukaryotic small subunit ribosomal RNA", at positions 594 to 945 of the family's 1831-position model. The record is from RNAcentral.
AUAGCGUAUAUUAAAGUUGUUGCCGUUAAAAAGCUCGUAGUUGAACCUUGGACCGGGCCGAUCUGUCCUCCUAACCGAGCGUACGGAUUCGGUCGGGUCUUUCCUUCUGGGGAACCCGAUGCCCUUUACUGGGUGUCGCGGGGAACCAGGACUUUUACCUUGAAAAAAUUAGAGUGUUCAAAGCAGGCCUUUGCUCGAAUACAUUAGCAUGGAAUAAUAGAAUAGGACAUCGGUUCUAUUUUGUUGGUUUCUAGGACCGCUGUAAUGAUUAAUAGGGAUAGUCGGGGGCGUCCGUAUUCAAUUGUCAGAGGUGAAAUUCUUGGAUUUAUUGAAGACGAACUACUG